Molecule: ribosomal RNA, 492 nt
Filed under: uncultured bacterium
Lineage: Bacteria
Description: partial 16S ribosomal RNA
Rfam family: Bacterial small subunit ribosomal RNA
Source: RNAcentral
AGUGAACGCUGGCGGUAGGCCUAACACAUGCAAGUCGAACGGCAGCACAGUAAGAGCUUGCUCUUACGGGUGGCGAGUGGCGGACGGGUGAGGAAUACAUCGGAAUCUACUUUUUCGUGGGGGAUAACGUAGGGAAACUUACGCUAAUACCGCAUACGACCUACGGGUGAAAGCAGUGGAUCUUCGGACCUUGCGCGAUUGAAUGAGCCGAUGUCGGAUUAGCUAGUUGGCGGGGUAAAGGCCCACCAAGGCGACGAUCCGUAGCUGGUCUGAGAGGAUGAUCAGCCACACGAGAACUGAAACACGGUCCAGACUCCUACGGGAGGCAGCAGUGGGGAAUAUUGGACAAUAGGCGCAAGCCUGAUCCAGCCAUACCGCGUGGGUGAAGAAGGCCUUCGGGUUGUAAAGCCCUUUUGUUGGGAAAGAAAAGCAGCAGGUUAAUACCCCGCUGUUCUGACGGUACCCAAAGAAUAAGCACCGGCUAACUUCGUG